AGCAGCCGCGGUAAUUCCAGCUCCAAUAGCGUAUAUUAAAGUUGUUGCAGUUAAAAAGCUCGUAGUUGAAUUUCGGGAUCAAUAUGUUGGUCGUGCCUCGGUACGUACUGGCAUUAUUGGUUUCUACCUUCUGAAGAACCUCGAUGUCAUUAAUUUGGUGUCUUGGGGAAUCAGGACUGUUACUUUGAAAAAAUUAGAGUGUUUAAAGCAGGCUCACGCUUGAAUACAUUAGCAUGGAAUAAUGAAAUAGGACGUUUGAUUCUAUUUUGUUGGUUUCUAGGAUUGACGUAAUGAUUAAUAGGGAUAGUUGGGGGCAUUAGUAUUCAAUUGUCAGAGGUGAAAUUCUUGGAUUUAUUGAAGACUGACUACUGCGAAAGCAUUUGCCAAGGAUGUUUUCAUUAAUCAAGAACGAAAGUUAGGGGAUCGAAGACGAUCAGAUACCGUCGUAGUCUUAACCAUAAACUAUGCCGACUAGGGAUCGGAUGAUGUAAUUUUUAAUGACUCA
This 505-nucleotide ribosomal RNA is filed under the name uncultured Glomeraceae. Its description in RNAcentral is "SSU rRNA". It matches the Rfam family "Eukaryotic small subunit ribosomal RNA", at positions 569 to 1078 of the family's 1831-position model. Lineage: Eukaryota; Fungi; Glomeromycota; Glomeromycetes; Glomerales; Glomeraceae. The record is from RNAcentral.